RNAcentral lists this ribosomal RNA (415 nucleotides) under uncultured prokaryote. RNAcentral describes it as "bacterial SSU rRNA". It matches the Rfam family "Bacterial small subunit ribosomal RNA", at positions 505 to 918 of the family's 1533-position model. The record is from RNAcentral.
GUGUCAGCCGCCGCGGUAAUACGGAGGAUGCAAGCGUUAUCCGGAAUCAUUGGGCGUAAAGCGUCCGCAGGUGGCACUUCAAGUCUGCUGUCAAAGGUCGGGGCUUAACUCCGAACAGGCAGUGGAAACUGAAGUGCUCGAGUGCGGUAGGGGCAGAGGGAAUUCCUGGUGUAGCGGUGAAAUGCGUAGAGAUCAGGAAGAACACCGGUGGCGAAAGCGCUCUGCUAGUCCGCAACUGACACUGAGGGACGAAAGCUAGGGGAGCGAAAGGGAUUAGAUACCCCUGUAGUCCUAGCUGUAAACGAUGGAGACUAGGUGUGGCCUGUAUCGACCCGGGCCGUGCCGGAGCUAACGCGUUAAGUCUCCCGCCUGGGGAGUACGCACGCAAGUGUGAAACUUAAAGGAAUUGACGGGG